CAAUAAAAGCUAAGAGCCCCAAAACACAACCGACAUAAAACAAACCCUCCUUUUCGUGUUCGGAUGGAAUGUCUCCCAUUUCGGUGUGGGUCUGUUGUCUUUGUGUUAGAAUGUGAGUGCCCGGUGGGCGGGGACCCUGUCACUCUGGAUUAACUCUCCCACGGGCUUAGUGAAUCACUGCAAGCCGAGGUGUGCUUAUUAAACUUGAAUGACUGAUAAGACAAGUAAUUGCGCCAGAAGAAAUGCUAAUUUUAAAAUGUCUCUAAAUUCCUGAAUUUCACACGUGGGAAGUCCAGUGACCUGGGGUAGCUCUUGGGAAUUAGUAAUCCGAUACAGAAUCUUUCCCCUUUGUGUCACCUGUUACAAUUUGGCUUCCCUGUGCUGGGACUGAAAAUCAUUACCAGCUGACAGCUCUGUGAAGCCUGAUGUCUGCAACCAAAGCGAUGUGUAGAAUGUUGCUGACGCCGGGCAGGAAGAGGAAGUGCCUAUUUUGAUUAAUUGAAUAGCCGUGGAGUGGAAAAAGAUCUAUUUGCGAACACAGCAGACUGACUAGUACUUAGAACGAAAAGAGAGUGGAUGCAGACGAAACCAGGAUCUUCCGGAUCACACCAUUCACACGGCAGCAGAUUUUGGAAACCACAUUGACUCUUUUGGCUGCACUCAAGUGAUAUCAACUAAGAGGACCCUAUCAGGCUUGAAGUGCAUUGCCACAGUGAACUACUUCCGCUUCUAUUGAAAACACCAUCUCACGAUGAAACUCAAACCCAAUUGUCACUAUGGAAACCACAGUAAAGAUAGGGAUACAGUUUCAAAACGAAAACUCUGCCUGGAACUGGGAGACAGGUAGGAUUUUUCUACAACUCUUCAGUCAUAAAUUAAACUUUGGUGACGGUGAGGAAUUUUUAAGAAUCGUUUUUGAACCUGCCUAGGGGUAGAAGAAAUUAAACUUUGACACUUUUCUGAAUUGCUUAUAUUACCUAAUUCCCCUGGGGUUUUCAGAAAGGAUUAUACUAUGUUAGAUCUUGUUGAAGAUGGCGUUUUACAAGCCACCAAGAUCAGCAAGUAGCACUAACACUGCAUUGAAGUUGAAAAAUAUCUCGAUUUUGCAAUUCUGUAUGCAGGAAACCAGUCAUUUAAUCAUUAGGUUUGUUAUGAAGGGACAAGUAGUCAUUCUCCUUAAAUAUUUUAGAUUAUAUGGUGUUAUGUCGCCUGUUUUAUUAUCAGUGGCAUCUUGCCUUCUUUCUAAUAACCUUUUUUUUUUUUUUGAGAAAGCCAUGGUGAUCGUGAGACUCUGAAGCUUAAGUAAUCAUUAUAUUCUUUUGUUUACCAAAUGUCAUGCUUUUAGGUUGGUUCAGUGUAGUGUUGAGGAAGUAAAACAGCAUCUACUGUCUCUGUCUACUAAAUAAUCUAAAUAAUCUAUGAAUUACUGAACAGCCUAAGUAAAGGGAGAGCGUAAUGAAGAAAGGCAAACACAGAAACUGCUUUCGCAUAGCAUGCCAUGCCACUCAACCUCAUCAAAAUCAGUAGGUAUCACUUUCUUUUGCGUUAUCAACACAGUAUGGAACCCACCUAGAAGGAUGGCGUUAGACAAGCAAAGACACAGAGCAAAUUACCUACCAUUCAGUCUUAUUCUUUCCUCCCUCCUUGCCUUCACUUACUUAGAGUUCAAACAGAAGACGAUGUAAUUUACAUACUGUUGAUGCCCAAACGAAUUUUGGCUUCAAAUAGUUUCCCAUGUCUCAUCCUAGAGUAAAUAGUUGAUUUAUGUGUUCAUUGAAAUAAAUGGGCAAAGGAAUUAUUAAUGAUUAGUGAGUUAUUGUGGAGUAUCGCCCAAGGGAAGAGAGAACAGGAUCAGAGAGCUCUAGUCCCUCCGUUCUACAAGAGCUUCUGAUGAAAAGCUCUUGGCAUUGUUGACUCUUUAUAGCCUUUUUUUGGGGCUAUUCAUGCAUUUUAUUACUAAAAGAAAUUGGAAAUAGCACAAUUUGCAAUAAAUGGAAUUUUAGCGCAGUAGAGCCUUGAGCGCUGAAUUCUGGAGUUAAUUUUAUUGGCAUGAGUCACAUUUCUCACUAGAACCCACUUCUAAGAAGCACUGUGCCUGCAGAUCAAAUCUUACCUUGGACUUAUUUGACUUGGUGUUGUUUCAUUGCUUAUUACUAACUCUCAAUUACAAACACCACAACAGUAAAAUCUGGCUUCCAUAAAUGCCUGCUAGAGAAAUGAAACUGGAAUAGUGUUUCUAAUUUGGGGUACAUGCUUCUUUGAACAUUUAUGGAAUUUUAAAUGGUUUGGCGGAUAUUGGAAUAAAGAGAAGUCAGCACUGUGAGGAAGUGUGGAAGAAACUCUUUUGUUCGAGUUUGCAAAGCUGAGAUAUCUGAUGGAUAGGAAUAGACUCACUGACUUAUCAUCUGACUUUGGUCAGAUGCUUUCCUGACGGAAAACACAUAACAUAAGCUGAUACACACCCUAGGAAUUUCAACUAGAAAUAUGCCAUCAAGUUCUCAUAUGUUUCUAUGAGUGUGUGAUGUUAAAAACAAUUAAGUUUAUGAGUUGAUAUAAACCAUUCAAUUUCAAGUAGGCACAAUUCAUCAAGUUCUCAUAUGUUUUCAUAAAUGUACUGUGAAAAAGAUCAAAUUUAUGAAUUAAUGUGAUUCAUCCAAUUGAUAUAUUAAAAGCAAGAAGGAGUUUUUAUUAAUUCCUACAGAUGGCCU
This is a long non-coding RNA of Acinonyx jubatus (cheetah), 2708 nucleotides long. RefSeq lists it as uncharacterized. The transcript is spliced from 3 exons. The record is from RefSeq and is a predicted model, not a curated record. NCBI's taxonomy places the organism in Eukaryota, Metazoa, Chordata, Mammalia, Carnivora, Felidae.